RNAcentral lists this ribosomal RNA (119 nucleotides) under Pteropus alecto (black flying fox). Lineage: Eukaryota; Metazoa; Chordata; Mammalia; Chiroptera; Pteropodidae. The record is from RNAcentral.
GUCUACAGCCAUGCUACCCUGAACAAGCCUGAUCCCAUCUGAUCUCGGAAGCUAAGCAGGGUUGAGUCUGGUUAGUACUUGGAUGGGAGACCACCUACGAAGACCAGGUGCUGUAGGCG